RNAcentral lists this unclassified non-coding RNA (431 nucleotides) under soil metagenome. RNAcentral's name for it is "partial contains 5.8S ribosomal RNA, internal transcribed spacer 2, and large subunit ribosomal RNA". The stretch from base 3 to 119 matches the Rfam family "5.8S ribosomal RNA", at positions 38 to 154 of the family's 154-position model. The record is from RNAcentral.
GAGAAGAACGUAGCGAAAUGCGAUACGUAAUGUGAAUUGCAGAAUUCAGUGAAUCAUCGAAUCUUUGAACGCAUAUUGCGCUCUCUGGUAUUCCGGAGAGCAUGCUUGUUUGAGUAUCAGUAAACACCUCAACUUCCAUAUCUUUUUUGAAAUGGGAGUUGGACUUGAGUGAUCCCAACGCUUUUCCUCACCGAAAAGUGGCGGGUUACUUGAAAUGCAGGUGCAGCUGGACUUUUCUCUGAGCUAUAAGCAUAUCUAUUUAGUCUGCCUAAAAAACAGAUUAUUACCUUUGCUGCAGCUAACAUAAAGGAGAUUAGUUCUUGUGCUGACUGAUGCAGGAUUCACAAAGACAGCUUCGGCCGACUUUGUAAACUCGAUCUCAAAUCAAGUAAGACUACCCGCUGAACUUAAGCAUAUCAAUAAGCGGAGGA